UUGUUUUUACCAUCUCUAAGCUAAAUUUGAAAUCAAAACAAUAAUAAUACUUUUUCGUGGCAUUUUAAGACUGAGAAAAAAGCUAAUAAUGAGCCAGAUAUCGGGAAGCACACUGGACUCGCAGCGUAUGAUGAUGAUGGAGGCACACAGUUCCCUGAAAACAAUGAUCGAAAAAGCAAAAAUAACACCAAAGGAUAGUCCCCAGAAAUCAGAAGAACUUAAUGGCCGAAUCGUAAAGCUAAUCGAGGCAAUUAAGAAGCGUCACAAAGAGCUGCAGGCGAUGGAAUAAACAAAAAAUGAAUGAGACUGGUUGGGGCGUGCGGUUAAUUUUGGGUUGUUUUAUAAAUACAUAUGUAAAAUAUA
This 363-nucleotide small RNA is filed under the name Drosophila ananassae. RNAcentral's name for it is "GF20847". The record is from RNAcentral. Lineage: Eukaryota; Metazoa; Arthropoda; Insecta; Diptera; Drosophilidae.